This 781-nucleotide long non-coding RNA is filed under the name Phoenix dactylifera (date palm). RNAcentral describes it as "long non-coding RNA (PDAC_LNC017824)". Lineage: Eukaryota; Viridiplantae; Streptophyta; Magnoliopsida; Arecales; Arecaceae. The record is from RNAcentral.
UUUGGAUAGCCGGCCCCCCUGUUUCACCGAAUGGGGGAUUCUUAUUCCCAGCCGAGAGGUAUAGCAGCUAGCCUUCUCCCCCCUUUCUCGCACGCGGUGGAGACGAGCUGAGAACGCGGAGCCGACGCGGAAGGAGCGGACGUUGAUCGAUGGUGCUUGGACACGCAUGGACGGCUGGGGAUGCUCUCGAACGGCUGGAUGAACGCGUGGAUCCGGAAGCAGCGCUGGUGGGGAGAAAGAUUCGGGAGCUUCGCGGAUGAGGCGGAAGAAGCGGGAUGAAGUCGGAACUCAGGGAUUGUGAGAUCUGAUCGUGGAAUCCGAAAGCUAGAGCGCGUGAGAUGCGUGGGAGGAUCAGUCGGACACGUGGAAAGCUGGUAGAAGGGCCUUGGAUGAUGGGAGAUGAACCGUGGACGGCUGGAAGGCUGAUCGCAUGAGACACGGAGAUGGGAGUUAAUCGCCGAUGCUGAAAUCGCGGGAUGCCGUGAGCUUCGGACGCGGAUGUGGCUAGACGCGGCUGUGGCGGAUGGGUGCUGAUAUGGCUGGAACUCCGAAGAGGCUGGAACGGGAGCUGGUCACAUGCGCUGGGACGCGGUGGAAUCGCCACGCUGGGAGAAGCUUGGACGCGUGGAUGAAUGAAUCGAAGGAUGGGGCGCGGUCGACUGCUGAAUCAUAUGCAGAGAAGAUGGACUCGAAAUGCUGGCCGCAGGAUGAGAUCUGGGUGCUGGGCGGUUGCACGGACGUGAUGAUAGAUCACAUGCUGGGCUCGUAGAAUACUGAAGCU